GUCAAUCUCUCUUUUUGGUGAUGAGUGUGGGGAAUUUCUGGGAGAGGAAAUCUCUCCACCAGCAGAAUCUCAACUUCCAUGCAAUUUGCAGACUUGUAAAGCUGCUCAGGGCAAGUAACUUGUUUAGAGUCACACAACCAGUAUAUAUCAGGGUAAAACUUGAACCCAAUUCAUCUUUAUUCUCAGAAUUCCAUGUUGCUUUUGCUUCAUGGUUUAUGAAAUAAGGAUAUUAAUUCUACUCAGGCUUGCUGUGGAGAACAUGGUUUAUAAGCUUUAUAUUCCAUCUGAACCUUUAGUGUGUUCUUUUUAUCCCUGUUGGUGCCUCUAUACUUAGGCAUCAAAUGAUUACUGUGACAUUCUCCUCUUUUACCAUGCUUUUUAUCUUUUCUUCAGCUCUCCUCACUUCUCAAAAAUAGAAUGACUUGUUUCUUUUUUUAGUUUCUGGCCUCAACUUUUGAUUACCUCAUUACACUAAGUUGUUAAUAAGUAAUUGAUAAUUAAUCUUAAUUAAGCAUUUAUUAAAUCCAUAUUUUGUGUCAUUUCUUGUUCAAUAUCCUCUGGGUUUUAGGCAUACAAAUUAUGAAAGUGAAAUAUGUCCCUGUUUUCAAGAAGCUUAUAAUGGAAAAUAACACAGACAUUUGUCUGUUGAUGCUGUUUAGUCAUGUCCAACUCUUUGUGACCCCAUUUAUGCUUUUCUUGCCAAAGAUACCAGAGUAGUUUGACACUUCUUAUCCAGCUCAUUUUUACGAUGAGGAAACUGAGGCAAGCAGGGCUAAGUGACUUGUCCAGAGCACACAGCUAAUACAUAUCUCUGUAUUUGAACUCAGUUCUUUCUAACUCCAGGCUUGGUGCUCUAUCCACUGUACCUAGAUGCCUCUAACAUUUAUAAUUAUAUACAAAAUAAAUACAAGGUCAUUUUGAAAGGAACGCAUUAGCAUUUGAGGGAAUCAGAAAAGACUUUGUGAAAUUUAAGCUGUAUUUUCCCUGAAAGGAACGAGGAAUUCCUACAGAUAGGGAUGAAAAAUAAGAACAUUCCAGGCAUAGGGGACAGUCAGGGCAAAGGCAUGAAGGUGGGAGAUAGAGAUUUAUAUAUGAUAAAAAAAAGCAGAUCAGCUUUGCUGUAUCAAAGUAAACAUGGAGAAGAUUAAUUUUCUUUUUCUUUUAUUUACUUAUUUUUCUUUAUUAAAAAUUUUUAUUUUUCAAAACAUAUGCAUGGACAAUUCUUCAACAUUAGCUCUUGCAAAACCAAUUUUCCCCCUCUUCCCUCACACCCUCCCCUAGAUGGCAAAUAGUCCAAUACAUGUUAAACAUGUUAGAAAUAUAUGUUAAAUCCAAUAUGUUUACAUAUUUAUACAAUUAUUGUGCUGCACAAGAAAAAUCAAAUUAAACCAGUUUAAAAAAAAAGAGAGAAGCAAAAUAAAAUGUAAGCAAACAACAAAAAGAAUGAAAAUGCUAUGUUGUGAACCACACUCAAUUCCCACAGUCCUUCUCUGGGUGUAUAUGGCUCUCUUCAUCACUGAACAAUUGGAACUGGUUUGAGUCAUCUCAUUGUCCAUUAGAAUUGAUCAUUGUAUAAUUAUAUAAUUGUAUAAUUGCCAUAUAUAAUGAUCUCCUGGUUCUGCUCAUUUCAUUUAACAUCAGUUCAUGUAAGUUGAGAAAAGUAAUUUUCAAUGAAGAUAGAAAGGUUUGUUAUAGUCAUCUUGUGAAUAGCUUUAAAUGAGAGAAGAAAGAAUUUAUAUUUGAUUCUGAAGUUAAUAGACAGCUACUAGAAUUUUUUUAUUUAUGGUAGUGACAUGGUCAUAUUUAUAUUUUCCGAAAAUCAGUUCACUAAAGGUUAGAUUGAAGAGGGACGAUAGGGAGAUCAAUUAUGAAGCUAUUUCAGUAUUUUAGACUGUGUGCAUGGAGAGCUAUGAUGAUCCAGGCUAUGUGAAUGGAAUAGAGACAUUUAGGAGAGAUGAUGUAAAGGUAGAAAUAAUGCAAUUUGGCAAUUAAUUGGAUAUGUGGAAUGAACUGGAGGAAGAAAUUGAGGAUUAUGUCAAUGGUAGGAGCCUGGAUAUCUGGGAGGAUAGUGGUGCUUUCACUAUUGGGAAAAUCUGGAAAAGAGGAGUAUUGAUAGGAAUGAUAAUGAGUUCUUUUUUGGACAUGUUGAAUUUGAGAUGCCUAUGGGAUAUCCAAUUAACAACAUUCAAUAAGUAGUUUGUGAUAUGGAAUUCUCUCAAGAGAGGAAAUAGGACGGUAUAUAUAGACAUAGGUGUCAUUUGUGUUGAGAAGAGAAGGUAGCCAAUGGUGUUAAAUGCUACAGAAAGGUCAAGAAGACUGAAGCUUAAGAAGAUCCACCAGAUCUAGCAAUUAAUGGAUUAUUAUUAGCUUUGGAGAGAAAUCAUCUAAUUCAACUCCCCAAACCCCCAAAUAGAAAAGAUGAUGACUAAUCCAGGAUUAUUGAAUGAAUAUGAUGAUUAGAUCAUUUUUAUUCCAGAUCCAUAGCCAUUUUCAUCAUAUUAUAUAUUCAUACCACACCAAAUAUAAAACAAGAAUCUUACAUUUGGAAAAGACUUUAAAUACCACCAAGACCAAAAUUUUUAUCUUGGAAGUUUGUAAUUUUUUUAGGGGAAAAUACACAUUUGAGAAGAGAAAAGAAGGAAGGGAAAAAGAGGGGGAAAAAAGCCUGGAACAAUAAAAAGAAUGUAUUAUCUGAAGCUAGAAAUUUCUGGCUUUGCCAAUUGUGAUGUUGAUUGUAGCUGUUCAGUCAUUUUAAUCCCAUUUGAUGCUUUGUGACUUCAUUUGGAAUUUUCCUGGCAUAGAUACUGGAAUAGUUUUUCAUUUUCUUCUUUAGCUUAUUUUACAGAUGAGGAAACUAAGGCAAAUGGUUUUAAGUGACUUGCCCAGAGUCAUACAGCUAGUUAGUGUCUGAGGCCAUAUUUGAAUUUAGGUCUUCCUAACUCAAGGCCUGGUACUACAGAACCACCUGAUAGCUGGGCAAAUUGCUUAAUUUCUCUGGUCCUCAGUAUCUCCUUGUAAAUUUAGGAGGCUGGAACAAAUGGUCUCUAAGGUUCUACAUUUAUCCUUUUAUAAUCUUAUGGUUAAUUAUAUGCAUCGAGUAUGAAUGAAAUAGCAUUUGAUGAAGUUUGGUGGAAGCUGGAUUCAGUGGUAAAACUUUGUGAAUAGGAGGCAGUAUGGAGUAAUAUUAAGAACAUCAGCCCCCAAGUCAGAGAAUCUGGUCUCAAAUCCUCCUUUGAGACUUACUAUGUGUCUAUGUGGAUGUGUGUGUUCCCUCAUCUGUAAAAGGAAGAGGAUAGACUAGAUGGCCUUUGAGCUAUGGUCCUAUGCUAUUAAGGGCUUAAACUGGUUGUUUUUUUUUUUUUUUUUUUGAAGUGUGGAUAAGUGUUGAAAAACUUAAGGAGGCAAGAGGUAAAGAAGACAAGAGAAAUCAUUCCAAGCAGAGGAAGAGACAUAAGGCUCCAAAUAAAGAUAAUAAUGCUAGAUACAGUAAAAAGACUAGGUAAAAAAUAGGAUGAGUUUAGUUCUGGGGGAACUCUGUGAGAUAAAAUGGAGGUGGUGUGCUAGGGGUCAGAUUAUGGAAGAUUUGUAAAAAGAGGCAGAAGAAUUUGGCCUUGGUCCAAUAAGAUUUAGGGAACAUUCUCUAGGAGUAUCUGAUCUGUGAAACUUUUGAGAGCAUCUACAAGUUCAAUGUCAAUUCUUAAGCGCCUAAAAUAUUCAACAUGCCUUUAAAUUUAGCGUCUUAAUUUAAUAUCCACAGGCACACACUGGGCUUAAUAGUUCAGAUAGGUUUGGGACAUCAGCAGAAAACUUGACCUAGAUGGAAGUAGUGGUGGAAACUGAGGCUCAGAUAUGAAUGCUAGUGUAACAAUAUACUGUUAACUAUCUUCCUCAGGUGAAAAUAAAUGAGUUGCCUCCUCUCACUCUACCUCUCAUAUUCUACAAACCUCUUCUUUCUUCCAGUCCUAAACAUGAAUAAUAAUGCAUUAGCAGAAGUUUGUAUGUAAUUUUCAUGUGCUGAUAAAUGACUAAGCUAAGACACAUUUUGAAUUUUAAAAGCUCUUGAGGAAACAAUCGAGUCCCAAAAGAUUGAAGACAGGGAUUGGACUACCCAAUUGACUCACCUUCAACCCAAAAUUCUGUUCCCUAGUCCUAUUUCCUUAUCCCAUAUUUUAUGUACAGGAGGUAACAUACAUCUUAGCACAGUGACUGAGAUUAAUUGAGACAGCUGAAGUCUCAUAUGCUUCACUCACUUCUUUCAUUCCUGUCCCUUAUGGAAGAGUAGCCAAACAGGUGAGGAGAAGGGAGGAGGGAGGAGGGAGAAAAAAGGAAGAAAAGAGACUGUUUAGGAGUAGUAGUCUCUAUUUUAUCUUUACUCGAUGGGGCUAAGGGCUAGACAAGGUGUGAGAGCUUUAGAAUCUUCUAAACCUCCUUUUUUUCUUGAGGAGGUAGGCAUUUCCAGGAGAAAGAAAGGAUAAUUUAAUUUUGCAUGUAAUUUAACCUUGAAAGGGUUUGGGGUGGAUUUAUCCCCUUAGAGAAGUAAGAGAAGAGAAUUACACAACUAGAAAGAGCAUUCCAGUUAAACUCUCCACUGUUCUAGGAAUACAGAGAGACAGUGUUUAGAAACCUUAGAGAUGACCCAUCUCUUCUAUGACUGAUUGAAAUGAGAGCUGGUUUUCAUUUAGUUUUCUACCCUAAGUUAGGUGGUUGUCCCAGAACCUUUUCCCACCCCUCCUAUGAUUUCUCUCUCUCUGUCUCUGUCUGUCUGUAUAUCUGUCUCUCUGUCUCUGUCUCUGUCUCUCUGUUUCUGUCUCUGUCUCUCUUUCAGUGUCUGUCUCUGUCUCUUUCUCUCUCCUCUGUCUCCCUCCCUUUUCCCCUUCACCCUCUCUUUUUCUCUCCCCCUCCCCUUUUUUCUUUCUCUUUCCUCCUCUCUAUCUCCUCCCUCCUCUCUUCUUUCUCCUUCCUUCUUUCUUUCUUCUCCUCCUUUCUCUCCCCUCCUCUUUAUGCCCUGGAAGCUGGUAGCACACCUAGCUUAGUAUGUAUCCCAAUUCUCUGGAGUUCUGGUCUUUGGGCAGCCAGGGACCUGGAGAAUGCCCAACAUCAAAGCAAAGAGGGAUGAGAGAGAAUAGGGUUGGGAGUGGGCAAGGCAUAGCAGAGUGUCCAUGGAAUCAUCGGGUACGCUUUGGAUUGAGGAAGACCUGAAGCAAAGAUGGACUCUUCUCCCUGAAGCUGCUUCCAAGGAACCAGAAUAGCAAUUCUUCAUCUUGAAGAGGAGGCCAGGAGAAACUACAAAAGUAUUCCAGAUGGCUACUACCUAAGAGAAAGUCUUAGACUUGAUAUCCGGACAUUAGAAAAAGAAGAUGGCGAAAAUAACACUGAUGGUUCUUUUCCAAAAUCCUUGGAUCACUUGACAAGAUCAGAUUCAUUCUCCUUAUGACCUCUUCUUGGAGCACUCUUUCCUUGAUGGCAUCAGUGUUGCAGGCUUCCUCUUUGAUCUCAGCUUCAUCAUCUGCACCUCAACUGAAAGACCUACUUGAAGAGCAAGAAGGAAAAACCUCUCUGAAAGAAAGAGCUUGAAACCUGAUCAUGGCUAUCCCAAAAGGGGAAAUGGUCUUUGGCAAGGGAUAGAGCAUGGAAUCUCUACCUAAGAAUCACUAGAUAUAAAGAUAUAAAGAGACUACAGAAGUAAUUUUCUUGAGUAGUAAGACAUUUUCUAAAAUUAAGGGAUGGGUUUAAGCAGGAUUGUUGUCUUUAUAAAAUUGUAAGUCAGGAUUUACUUAUAGCCUCAGAGCCUCUCAUCUAGGGGUCAACAAAAUUAUUCCAAAGAAAGAGAUAGAAGGAAAGAAUUAACCUUUUGUCCUUUAAUCAUUUCCAGAGUAAAGUACUUCAAAUAUUAUUGUGUAUCCAAUGAAUUUUUUAAAUUAAUUCAUUCAUUUAACAGAUUCUUUUUAAGUCAACAAAAAUAACAACCAACUUCGCACACAAUUUAUUUUCUAUUGGAUGUUUGAUCCCUAGAAAACAUCAACUUGGACUAGAUAUCAAAUCUAGGAAAAGAGGUUAGGUUGGGACUUUUCAUUAUUUAACAUUUUGGGGUCACCUUUCUAAUGAACCUUUUAAGUAACAUUAUGUAUUAUAGCUGUUUUUGUGCAUGCCAUAUACUCUUAGUAAAAUGUAAGUUCUGUGAGGGCAGAAACUGCAUUCCAUUGAAAACACUGUAUUUUCUUCAGGACCAAACACAGAGAUCUGAAUAUAAUAUGUGCUUAAUAAAUACUUGUUCAAAAUAA
Antechinus flavipes (yellow-footed antechinus) is the source of this 6281-nucleotide long non-coding RNA. RefSeq lists it as uncharacterized. The transcript has 4 exons. NCBI's taxonomy places the organism in Eukaryota, Metazoa, Chordata, Mammalia, Dasyuromorphia, Dasyuridae. The record is from RefSeq and is a predicted model, not a curated record.